This 403-nucleotide ribosomal RNA is filed under the name uncultured bacterium. Its description in RNAcentral is "bacterial SSU rRNA". It matches the Rfam family "Bacterial small subunit ribosomal RNA", at positions 355 to 775 of the family's 1533-position model. The record is from RNAcentral.
UAGGGAAUAUUAGAAAUGGACGAAAGUCUGAUCUAGCGACACCGCGUGUGCGAAGAAGGCCUUCGGGUUGUAAAGCACUUUUUGGAAGGAAUAGGAAGGAAGGUACUUCCAGAAUAAGUCUCGGCUAACUACGUGCCAGCAGCCGCGGUAACACGUAGGAGGCGAACGUUAUCCGGAUUUACUGGGCGUAAAGCGCGUGUAGGUGGUUCUGUAAGUAGGGCGUGAAAGCUCCUGGCUCAACUGGGAGAGGCCGUUCUAAACUGCAGAGCUAGAGGAUGGUAGAGGGAGGUGGAAUUCCAGGUGUAGCGGUGGAAUGCGCAGAUAUCUGGAGGAACACCAGUGGCGAAGGCGGCCUCCUGGACCAUUCCUGACACUCAGACGCGAAAGCUAGGGUAGCAAACGG